RNAcentral lists this ribosomal RNA (492 nucleotides) under uncultured bacterium. RNAcentral describes it as "partial 16S ribosomal RNA". It matches the Rfam family "Bacterial small subunit ribosomal RNA", at positions 30 to 507 of the family's 1533-position model. The record is from RNAcentral.
AGUGAACGCUGGCGGCAUGCCUAACACAUGCAAGUCGAACGGCAGCACAGUAAGAGCUUGCUCCUACGGUUGGCGACUGGCGGAUGGGUGAGGAGUACAUCGCCAUCCACUUCUUCGUGGGGGAUAACGUAGGGAAAUUUACGCUAAUAGCGCAUAUUUUCUACGGGUGGGUGCAGAGGUUCUUUGGGUGUUGCGUGAGCGAAUGAGCUGAUGGCGGAUUGGCUAGUUGGCGGGGUAACGGCCCAGCAAGGCGACGAUGCCUUGCGGGUCUGAGCGGGUGAACAGCCACACAGGAGCUGAGACACGGUCCAGAGUCCGACGGGAGGCAGAAGUUGGGAAUAGUGGCCGAUGGGCGGAAGCCUGAACAAGCGAUGCCGCGCGGGUGAAGAAGGCCUUCGGGUUGUAAAACCCUUUUGUUGGGGAAGAAAAGCUGCGGGUGGAAACCAGCCUGUUGUGACGGUACCUAAAUAAGAAGCACCGGCUAACUACGUG